ACUGCAAACAAUCUGCCACAGAUGGCAAGACAUGUCAUAUCUGGAUGUGGGAUGAGCUGAUCGAGAAGAGAAGACAGCAGCGCAAUUUUCAUCAAUUAAAAAGCCAGUGAAUUUCAUUUUCUGGCUUUCAAAGUGAGCUAGAGACUCAAGUUCCAAUAUCAGUUUGUAUUACAAAUUGAAUUGAGGGAGCAGAAUCAAAAUUUAUGCCUUGAAAACCAAAAACUUACCCAAACCCAAGAAAACUUACUGCACAUCGAAGAAUGAAUCCUGGCGGUUAACAAAUGAAAGCGGAAAGAAUGAAAGAAGUUGGAAGCAUUACCUGAGGAACAAAAAGAAGUCAAUGGAGACAAAUCUAUUAUCAUGGCCCGGGCAUGAGCGAUUUUACUCCAUUGGAUCUGAAUGCUAUUAAUGCUGAUGAAAGGGAUCUCUUGGAGGGAGAGAGGGAGGGCCAUCAUCUGGCAAGUACCCCAAGUUCGCAUCCAUAUAUGAACAAAAAUUGUUGGGAUUGGGGCCAGAACUGAAACCGGGGAAAGGGUUGCCUGCAGAGGAGGCCGAAUUACUUGCCGUUCGAAAGAGCAUUGGCAUACAAGAAUAUCAUCAUCAUCA
This 606-nucleotide long non-coding RNA is filed under the name Eucalyptus grandis. Its description in RNAcentral is "long non-coding RNA (EGRA_LNC000819)". Lineage: Eukaryota; Viridiplantae; Streptophyta; Magnoliopsida; Myrtales; Myrtaceae. The record is from RNAcentral.